UACGAAGGGUGCAAGCGUUACUCGGAAUCACUGGGCGUAAAGCGUGCGUAGGCGGUUUCUUAAGUCUGUCGUGAAAGCCCUGAGCUCAACCUGGGAAUGGCGAUGGAUACUGGGAGGCUAGAGUGUGAUAGAGGAUGGUGGAAUUCCCGGUGUAGCGGUGAAAUGUGUAGAGAUCGGGAGGAACACCGGUGGCGAAGGCGGGUCUCUGGGCAAUUCCUGACGCUGAGGCGCGAAAGCGUGGGGAGCAAACGGG
This 253-nucleotide ribosomal RNA is filed under the name uncultured bacterium. RNAcentral describes it as "partial 16S ribosomal RNA". It matches the Rfam family "Bacterial small subunit ribosomal RNA", at positions 524 to 776 of the family's 1533-position model. The record is from RNAcentral.